UAAGGAAUAUUGGGCAAUGGACGCAAGUCUGACCCAGCCAUGCCGCGUGAAGGAAGAAGGCCCUAGUGGUCGUAAACUUCUUUUAUAUGGGAAAAAUAGCCUGUUCGUGAAAUGGGUUUGAUGGUACUAUAUGAAUAAGCAUCGGCUAACUCCGUGCCAGCAGCCGCGGUAAUACGGAGGAUGCAAGCGUUAUCCGGAUUUAUUGGGUUUAAAGGGUGCGUAGGCGGAGCGAUAAGUCAGCGGUGAAAUCCUACGGCUUAACUGUAGAAUUGCCAUUGAUACUGUCGUUCUUGAGUGCAUUUGAAGAGGGCGGAAUGUGUUGUGUAGCGGUGAAAUGCUUAGAUAUAACACAGAACACCGAUUGCGAAGGCAGCUCUCUAAACUGCAACUGACGCUGAGGCACGAAAGCGUGGGGAUCAAACAGG
RNAcentral lists this ribosomal RNA (425 nucleotides) under uncultured bacterium. RNAcentral's name for it is "bacterial SSU rRNA". It matches the Rfam family "Bacterial small subunit ribosomal RNA", at positions 355 to 776 of the family's 1533-position model. The record is from RNAcentral.